Molecule: ribosomal RNA, 399 nt
Filed under: uncultured bacterium
Lineage: Bacteria
Description: bacterial SSU rRNA
Rfam family: Bacterial small subunit ribosomal RNA
Source: RNAcentral
AAUCAACGCUGGCGGCGUGCCUCAGACAUGCAAGUCGAACGAGAAAGUCCCCUUCGGGGGAUAAGUAAAGUGGCGCACGGGUGAGUAACACGUAGGUAAUCUACCUUCGGGUGGGGAAUAACCCAGGGAAACUUGGGCUAACACCGCAUGAUGCAGCGGCACCACAUGGUGACAGUUGUUAAAGCGGGGGAUUUUCGGACCUCGCGCCUGAAGAGGAGCCUGCGGCGGAUUAGCUAGUUGGAAGGUAACGGCUUACCAAGGUCACGAUCCGUAGCCGGCCUGAGAGGGCGGUCGGGCCACACUGACACUGACAUACGGGUCAGGCUCCUACGGGAGGCAGCAGUCGGGAAUUUUGGGCAAUGGGCGAAAGCCUGACCCAGCAACGCCGCGUGAAGGAUG